This 1410-nucleotide long non-coding RNA is filed under the name Vulpes vulpes (red fox). RNAcentral's name for it is "lncRNA (ENSVVUG00000022564.1)". Lineage: Eukaryota; Metazoa; Chordata; Mammalia; Carnivora; Canidae. The record is from RNAcentral.
AGACAUCAGAGUUGCCUACUGAUGCCAUGUAAGGAAAUACAAGGAAGCAGAUAAUUAAAAAUGCCAUUGUGGAGUUGGAGGAAGUUUAAAGUGAAUAUAUGCCAUUUUAUAUUCAUCCAUUCAUUCAUAUUUCCAUUCAACAAGUAAUUAUUGAACAUCAACCAUAUACAAAGAUGAAUCAAACAUGAUUCUGGUCUUGUGAUUCUUUCAAAAUGAUAUCUCCUCUGAGGAUUGAUGGGAGUGUCAGAGAGCCACUGGUGUUUGUCCCAAGUAAUUGGAUUGACCCUUUGAAGAAAAGGUUUCCACUUUAAUGCAGAGUUCCCUUUCCUGGGUGCCACCUCUCACCCAGGCCCAGUAUGACACACAUGCAGGCCUCAAAAGGCCUGGGCUGGGUGCUGUCUCUGCUGCUAUCAAUGGGUCUACCCCAUGCCAGCUUCAGGGAUGUGGAGACAAGGCUCAAGAGGAAGAGGCAUUACUUUAAAGUUUUGACCACAGAUCAGCUGCUCUUAACUGGUAGGCAGCACAUUCACUUGGCUCAAAUAUCAGAAGAUAUAAAAAAAGCAAAUCAUCCAAGGAAGAAUCUCCCUUCUAUCCUGUCUUGCCCACACCCCUGCACCCAUGAGCCCUGUGUCCCACUCCUGAUAGACACUGUUGUGGUUGCCUGUUAUACUUCCAGUUUGGGUAUCCACGAAAAUACAAGCAAAUGCAAUGCAUAUUGAUGCCCAGCCUUUUUACAAAAACAUGGUGGCAUUCUCUACUGCACUUUUAACUUAAUCCUGCACUUUUAAUGUAAUGAGAUUUUUCCAUGGGGGGAUGGGAGGGAGGGGAGAUGAAGACUAUCUGACAGUUGUCCAGGGGAUUUGCACAAUUACUCAAUGGAUUUAUAGAAUGGUGAAUCUGGGGAAUGUUCACUGGUUCAGACUAGUAAGAAUGUGCUGGACUUCUCUCCUUCUUGUUUUUUAAGUUUCCUCCCUUCCUUCCUUCCUUCCUUCCUUCCUUCCUUCCUCUUCCUUCCUUCCUUCCUUCCUUCCUUCCUUCCUUCCUUCCUCUUUCCCUCCUUCUCUCCCUCCUAUCUUCUUUUUCAUUAUUUUGCAGUUGGUAAAUUCGCUAGGUAUUUGCUACUAUCUUGAUCUGUUCAGAUAUUUUUGAUCUUUGUUGCUGAGCCAUAAGGUUCUCACUGAACAACUACCAAAAAUGUGGUCUUAUUGUACAAUACUCCUGUGCCAAACAGAGACAGGUCUCUGCUGGCAGAUGUCUUUCCUCAAAAUGUGCAGAUAUGCUCCUGUCAACUUUAGUGAGAAAUUCAAAGUCAAGUUCACUUCUUGGAAAGAAUCUGCCUAUCAAAUGUAAUUGUGCUUGGGUAAAUACUCAGCAAAUAAACUGUUUCUACUUCACUAAUCCUGGGAAUGC